UGUGAUGGAUUAUACUGUAAGAAGUAUAGCUGAUUUAAUAACACUGAUAAUAAAAUUAAAGUCAAGAGAAUAUCAGUCAAACUAAACGAAAAGAAACAAGAUAAUCGAUGGAAAUUAUUCCACGCGCAUUCCAAAAAAACCGACGCCACGACCUUGCUUGCAGAUGGUAUUUGCUUUCUUUGGAGCCGGUUUUACCUUUUCAGUCCAUUGUUUUGUUCAGUUGUUUGGGGUGUGAAGUAAUGGACCCACGUUUCAUUCAUGGUAAUGAAAUGGUGCAAAAAUUCGGAAUUAUUUCGUGUUAUUAUAAUAACACGAAAUAUAUGUAUCGCACUUUUUGAAAUACCUAGUGUGUCCACUGCAGGCAACUGCAUAAAAAACACUUGAUCUAGAAAAAAAUGCUCUGUGUGCCCUGAAGUGCUUUGAAGUACUUAUUUCAUCUCAAUUUCAAUCUCAAACGAUCUCAAAGUUUCUUAUUUCUUACAUUUUAUUGUAUGGCGAUAUUUCACAUUAACAGUGGUGAAAAUAACAUACUAUUCAAGAUAUUUUGAUCAAUGCAGAAACUCGGGUCCUUAAUUAAGUUUCUUACAAAGUUUCUGUUAUAUAAACAUACCGCAAACUUCAAGUUUAGAAGUAAUAUUUAGUUUAUAAAUAAACAUAUUUGCCAACUUCAGAACUAUAAAUCCACUUCAAAGUUUUAAUGACGUACCCACAUAGAGAGGUUAAACUCUUUUUUCAAAUAAAUUUGAAUUAUAACUUUAUAUUUCAAAUUAAAUAUUUUAUAUAAUCAAACUAAUAAUUAUAAAGAUGCUUUAAUUAAAAUUGUCAAUAAAAAUAACAAUUCUUUUUACAAACGCUUCUCAUUGGUCAUAAUGUGGUAAAUACGGAGCCAUGGCUCGGUUAGUGCACUUAAAAAUUUCAACAGCGGUUUCUUUUGGAGUCUUUUUCAUCUGAGAACAUUCCUUUACUGCGGCACCCAAUUGUUUAUGAUUGACAAUAAUAUAAUCCAAACUCUCUCUAAGUUUAGUUUUAUUGAUAUUAGCUUGUUCGUCCUGUAUCUCAAGAUGUCUGUAAAUACAAACAGCGCGACCGCCAAAUGCAGCGGAGUGCUAACAAGAUUUCUACUAUUGGUUCUUAGAGAGAGAGAGCGAAAUGCUUAUUGUCAAAAAAUUAUUACAAUUUGUGGACAAAAGCUUGUAAAAUUAAAAAACAAAUAUAAAAAUAACUAAAUAAAGAUACAAUUACAAUAAAAUUUCAGUCUACAGAAGGAAAUCGCAUUGAUUAACAAAAUUAUAGGUAAUAGUAAUAGGUAGUAAUUAGUAUAUAAGUCCAUAACAAAAUUAAACCGGUAAUUAGCGUGCCCGUAAUUAAAUAAUAUUAUUAGAAUAGAAGUCCUUUACAGAGGAUAAUGCACUUUCCAGUAAAUAUGCCCUCAAAUUAUUGCGAAAUGCAGGAAAAGAUGAUAUUGAUUUGAUUUCAACUGGCAAAUAAUUGUGCAUUUUUUUGCAUUGUGAAAUAUUACCUAUUAAGGUAGGUGAAGGUUGUGUUCCGCGUUCCCAAGUGCUACUACCUAUCUGAAAUUGGAGAAGCGUGCUUAUGAAUUUAAACGGAUUCAAAGAUUAAUACGGAAGGAAUAAAGAAGUCCCUGCAGUGAGCCCUGCUGUUUAGUCCGAGUCAAUAUCUAACUAUAGUCUCUUUUGAAGUGCCGUGAGAUCAGAGCUGCUCCAAGAGAAACUAGUGCUGCAAAUAGACAUAUUUUAUCACUGAUGUCUAGAUAGGCAAUGUAGUUUAUAAACAGAAGAAACAAAUUAGGACCUAGUACUGAGCCUUGGGGCACUCCACAUUCUAUUGGCUUGCAAGAUGACAUCGUUGUAUCAACCCUUACAAGCUGACUAAAGGGGUUUCCCUGAAGUCGUAGUAUUAAAAUUUGUUAAUUAAAGAUUUAAAAAUGUUUGAUUUAGGUUUUUUAUAAAGUGAGUAUAACAAACUAAACAUAAGCUACUUUCUUGGUACAUUUAAAAAUUCAGGUUUAGAUGCAAGUGUAGUAGGCAGCUGAACUAUUUAUAAUAUUCUCAUAUAAUCAUGAUUUAAAAUCUUGCUUUUGGUUUAAAACAGUGUUAAUGGAAUGUUUACGUUAAGUUAUUAAAAUAAUAUAACAUUACUGUUGUUAUACAUAAUUUAUUAUGAAAAAUAUUAAAUACAACUCAGUAAUUGCAA
This is a long non-coding RNA of Diorhabda carinulata, 2214 nucleotides long. RefSeq lists it as uncharacterized. The record is from RefSeq and is a predicted model, not a curated record. The transcript is spliced from 2 exons. Lineage: Eukaryota; Metazoa; Arthropoda; Insecta; Coleoptera; Chrysomelidae.